RNAcentral lists this long non-coding RNA (546 nucleotides) under Oryctolagus cuniculus (rabbit). RNAcentral's name for it is "lncRNA (ENSOCUG00000038045.1)". Lineage: Eukaryota; Metazoa; Chordata; Mammalia; Lagomorpha; Leporidae. The record is from RNAcentral.
GUGAGGCUACUAGGAGUUGAAAUACAUAUAACAUUUUGUUUUUUCUCUUUGCAAUACAUAGCAUACAAUGGAGUCUGGAUAAGUUCCAAGAGGGUUCAGGUUUGGAAGCAGCAACAGCAAUCCUACCCAUGGGUUCUCACUCUGCCUCCUUCGAUAAAAGAUUUGCGAUGUCUCCUCUGAAACACCAGAGAUUCGGCGAUUCCAGCAUGAGUUGGCAUUCCCAGUCCUUUGAUUUAGACCUGCCUCGCGGAGGUGUAGAGGAGGAAGAAGAAGAAGAGUCACGGAAAGACAAAGCGGAGAGAGGGCUGGAAAGUGCACAGAAGUGAACAGUGCACUACUUAUCCUGAGAAAACUUGGAGAGUGACUAUGCAUGGAACACCCUUAUUGGAAUUUGUGUACACCAAGUCAAACACAUCGAAGCGGUUCACUGGAUGCCAUAUAACACUCCAUCAGAUGGCCCGUUCAACUCUGCCAUAAAUGUCUGAAAUGUAUUGACUUAAUUUCUUGCUUUCAUCAGUAAGUAGCUUCUCUAUCGCUGAGCCACGA